Molecule: non-coding RNA, 21 nt
Organism: Caenorhabditis elegans
Lineage: Eukaryota; Metazoa; Nematoda; Chromadorea; Rhabditida; Rhabditidae
Source: Ensembl
UAUUCAUAUGGUAGAAAAAAG